GAUGAAGAACGCAGCGAAAUGCGAUAAGUAAUGCGAAUUGCAGAAUUCAGUGAGUCAUCGAAUCUUUGAACGCACAUUGCGCCCUGUGGUAUUCCGGGGGGCAUGCCUGUCCGAGCGUCAUUACAACCCUCAAGCUCAGCUUGGUGUUGGGCCCCGCCGCCCCGGCGGGCCCUAAAGUCAGUGGCGGUGCCGUCCGGCUCCGAGCGUAGUAAUUCUUCUCGCUCUGGAGGUCCGGUCGUGUGCUCGCCAGCAACCCCCAAUUUUUUUCAGGUUGACCUCGGAUCAGGUAGGGAUACCCGCUGAACUUAAGCAUAUCAAUAAGCGGAGGA
Molecule: unclassified non-coding RNA, 329 nt
Filed under: soil metagenome
Description: partial contains 5.8S ribosomal RNA, internal transcribed spacer 2, and large subunit ribosomal RNA
Rfam family: 5.8S ribosomal RNA (bases 1-120)
Source: RNAcentral